Boleophthalmus pectinirostris (great blue-spotted mudskipper) is the source of this 333-nucleotide long non-coding RNA. RefSeq lists it as uncharacterized. The record is from RefSeq and is a predicted model, not a curated record. The transcript is spliced from 3 exons. Lineage: Eukaryota; Metazoa; Chordata; Actinopteri; Gobiiformes; Gobiidae.
GUGACAAGAAGUAAAACUACUAGCUUGAAAAUGUCAGUCAGUCCAUGAGGUGUUUUGCGGUUAGAUCUGAAACCAUCCUCUCAUUUCCAGCCCUUUGAGUGGCAAUAUGAUUUCACACUUUUUUGCAUUAAAUCCUGGUCAAAGACAACACCUGCCUGUUCCUUGGAGGAAGUGAUGCAAGAGAGAGUUUAGCUGGCUGUGAAUCUCAAUUAGGACAAGGGGUCACGUUGAGUGUAACAGUACAAGGUUUACCUCCUCUUCUGGUAAAAAAACAAGGACAAAACUCGACUAGUGUGGGUGAGAUUUUGUGGGACUGCGACAGGGUAAAGGACG